RNAcentral lists this ribosomal RNA (496 nucleotides) under uncultured bacterium. RNAcentral's name for it is "partial 16S ribosomal RNA". It matches the Rfam family "Bacterial small subunit ribosomal RNA", at positions 29 to 507 of the family's 1533-position model. The record is from RNAcentral.
AUUAACGCUGGCGGCGUGCCUAAUACAUGCAAGUCGCGCGAACGGACGAGAAGCUUGCUUCUCUGAUGUUAGCGGCGGACGGGUGAGUAACACGUGGAUAACCUACCUAUAAGACUGGGAUAACUUCGGGAAACCGGAGCUAAUACCGGAUAAUAUUUUGAACCGCAUGGUUCAAAAGUGAAAGACGGUCUUGCUGUCACUUAUAGAUGGAUCCGCGCUGCAUUAGCUAGUUGGUAAGGUAACGGCUUACCAAGGCAACGAUGCAUAGCCGACCUGAGAGGGUGAUCGGCCACACUGGAACUGAGACACGGUCCAGACUCCUACGGGAGGCAGCAGUAGGGAAUCUUCCGCAAUGGGCGAAAGCCUGACGGAGCAACGCCGCGUGAGUGAUGAAGGUCUUCGGAUCGUAAAACUCUGUUAUUAGGGAAGAACAUAUGUGUAAGUAACUGUGCACAUCUUGACGGUACCUAAUCAGAAAGCCACGGCUAACUACGUG